RNAcentral lists this ribosomal RNA (484 nucleotides) under uncultured bacterium. Its description in RNAcentral is "partial 16S ribosomal RNA". It matches the Rfam family "Bacterial small subunit ribosomal RNA", at positions 30 to 507 of the family's 1533-position model. The record is from RNAcentral.
AUUGAACGCUGGCGGCAGGCCUAACACAUGCAAGUCGAGCGGAUGAAGGGAGCUUGCGCCUGGAUUCAGCGGGGGACGGGUGAGUAAUGCAUAGGAAGAUGCCUGGUAGUGGGGGAUAACGUCAGGAAAGGGGCGCUAAUACCGCAUACGUCCUGAGGGAGAAAGGGGGGGAUCUUCGGACCUCACGCUAUCAGAUGAGACUAGGCCGGAUUAGCUAGUUGGUGAGGUAAAGGCCUACCAAGGCGACGAUCCGUAACUGGUCUGAGAGGAUGAUCAGUCACACUGGAACUGAGACACGGUCCAGACUCCUACGGGAGGCAGCAGUAGGGAAUAUUCGGCAAUGGGCGAAAGCCUGACGCAGCCAUGCCGCGUGUGUGAUGAAGGUCUUCGGAUUGUAAAGCACUUUAAGUUGGGAGGAACGGCAGUAAGUUAAUACCUUGCUGUUUUGACGUUACCAACAGAAAAAGCCCCGGCUAACUUCGUG